RNAcentral lists this ribosomal RNA (425 nucleotides) under uncultured bacterium. RNAcentral describes it as "bacterial SSU rRNA". It matches the Rfam family "Bacterial small subunit ribosomal RNA", at positions 917 to 1344 of the family's 1533-position model. The record is from RNAcentral.
GGGCCCGCACAAGCGGUGGAGUAUGUGGUUUAAUUCGAUGCAACGCGAAGAACCUUACCAGGGUUUGACAUCCUGCGAAUCUCUUGGAAACUUGAGAGUGCCUUCGGGAGCGCAGUGACAGGUGGUGCAUGGCUGUCGUCAGCUCGUGUCGUGAGAUGUUGGGUUAAGUCCCGCAACGAGCGCAACCCACGUCUUUAGUUGCCAGCAUUUAGUUGGGCACUCUAGAGAGACCGCCGGUGAUAAACCGGAGGAAGGUGUGGAUGACGUCAAGUCAUCAUGCCCCUUACAUCCUGGGCUACACACGUACUACAAUGGUAUCUACAACAGGAAGCAAGACGGCGACGUUUAGCAAAUCCUUAAAAGAUACCUCAGUUCGGAUUGCACUCUGCAACUCGAGUGCAUGAAGCUGGAAUUACUAGUAAUCG